RNAcentral lists this small RNA (134 nucleotides) under Cricetulus griseus (Chinese hamster). RNAcentral describes it as "7SK RNA (ENSCGRG00000023934.1)". Lineage: Eukaryota; Metazoa; Chordata; Mammalia; Rodentia; Cricetidae. The record is from RNAcentral.
CCCCUCCCGAAGCUGUGCACUCUUCAAAGAGGAUGACCUUCCUGGAAUAGAGCAGGACCGGAGAAUAGCUGUGCUCCCAUGCUAGAAUCUCCAAACAAGCCCUCAAAUAGGUCUUUUAGAUUUGAGUCCUCAGC